AGGACUCAAUCUGUAGACCUAAAACAGAUUAAAAGGAAUAGUUUACUCUAAAUCUGUUCCAAUGAAGAAACAAAUUCAUCUACGUCUCAAAUGGCUUGAGGGCCCUGCUGGUCAUUGACACAGGAGCUACAUAGGGCCUUUGAACUGGUUCCCAGAGAGAUGUUGGCGGAUGGAGGGUUUGGAUCCUGCCGCAUCACCGAGCUUACGCCACACAACCUGAACACAAAGCAAACACACAGUCCUCCUCGUAGUCCUCUGGGAGCUUCCUGUCCAGGUUUUCGUGGACUUCUAAUACCUACAAAGCAAAGGAACAGAGGGUUAAACAAUUAAUGAAUGUUAUGUCGUCCUUCAAACAACAGAGAUCCAACAAAUCAUAGAAAUCCUGGAGGUGGCAGUAUUGCUAUAAUAAGUAAGACUUUAAACGUUUUGAUGAUGUGUCCCACUUUUUACUGAUAGACAUUGAGGGAUAACAAAGAGAGGACUACAAACUAUUAAAAAGUGUAACACAAUUGAGAAAUGACCGCAAGCCUAAAAAAAUAGCAUAAUAUAACUGGACAUGAUAUUUUACAGCAAUCGUUAGUUCUGAAAUACAAACAACUUGUAAGUACGGCUUCAUUUUGCAAUAUGUGCAUUAGAAUCUCACUUUCAUGGCAUGUACAACAGCUUCUGGUUUCUGUGCUGCCGGCAGGUAUCCGGUGACGGGGGACAGCAGAUCACCUCCUGGCAUCCACGUAGAUCCCUGUAGACAGAUGGACACACAUUCGUCACAAUCAAAAAUCACUCAUACUGUUCUCUCAGUUUACCAGAGGAGAUCCGAGCACUGGAAAAGCCCAUGGCUGUUCCUCCGAGUCAACUCAGGCUUGAAAUGGGUUAAAGCAUCUCAUUAUAACUCAUCUCUGCUUGGACCCCCUUCAUGGGUACGCAUCAACAAAGAGUUCUUUCAGUGCACAGGGUCUGGUGAGCCCCUGUUUAGACAAAGCCCUUUGAGUCCUAUUCUAGCGUUAAAUCCACAACAAUUGAGCUGGCAUUUCAACAACAGGGUCGGGAGAGGACCCCUGGAUGGAAACUGUGGCUCGCUUUUGGCCUGGGAGAACAGGACUGUGAUGUUCACUCGCAGUUGCCAGCAGGUUUAUAAAGGGCUAGAGCCAUGGGGAUUUUACCCUGGACUGACCCGAGUACAUCCUGAAACGAUGGCCGCUGUCAUGCAUCGCCCCGGCAGUCUGAUUAGAGAAGCACACAAUUCAUUCUGCAUGGAUUCAUUUGCCAUGCAGCGCUCGAAUUACCUGGAUUAUUUUAAUAGCUAAUGCCACUAUCUAUUCAGGACCUUAAAAUUCUCAUAUGAUAAAGUUGUAUGAACUAUAUUGCAACAUGACAUUAAAUGUAAGCGAUUUAAUUCCCAUAAAAUGUAACUGUAUAAAAUAUAAUGCAAAUUAAUACUAUUAAAUAGUAAGAAAAAAUUGUGAUGAGUGGGGCAGGACCGAGAGCCGUGGGAACGGAGCGAGGCUGGUGGAGUGAUUGAAGAUGAGCGACACCUGCACCACUCACCGGUCUCGAGUCCCACGGUGGAGCUCCGGAAGCAUAAAGGGAGGAGUAACGACAGUGAAGAACGAGAGAGGACCAGGCCUGGGUUUUAUUUUGUGUUUUGGUUUUGUUUGUGCUGUUUGGUGUCUUUUUUAUUAUUAAA
Carassius gibelio (silver crucian carp) is the source of this 1684-nucleotide long non-coding RNA. RefSeq lists it as uncharacterized. The record is from RefSeq and is a predicted model, not a curated record. The transcript is spliced from 4 exons. NCBI's taxonomy places the organism in Eukaryota, Metazoa, Chordata, Actinopteri, Cypriniformes, Cyprinidae.